GAUACUCCCCUAGUAGCGGCGAGCGAACGGGGACCAGCCGAGCCAUGAGAGUGAUUAGAACCAGUUGGAAAGCUGGGCCAUAGCGGGUGACAGCCCCGUAUAAGAAGCUCAAUUGGACGUAUUAAGUAGGGCGGGACACGUGAAAUCCUGUCUGAACAUGGGGGGACCACCCUCUAAGGCUAAGUACUCCUUACUGACCGAUAGUGAACCAGUACCGUGAGGGAAAGGCGAAAAGCACCCCGACGAGG
RNAcentral lists this ribosomal RNA (248 nucleotides) under Isochrysis galbana. Its description in RNAcentral is "partial Bacterial large subunit ribosomal RNA". It matches the Rfam family "Bacterial large subunit ribosomal RNA", at positions 231 to 534 of the family's 2925-position model. Lineage: Eukaryota; Haptophyta; Isochrysidales; Isochrysidaceae. The record is from RNAcentral.